Non-coding RNA from Xyrichtys novacula (pearly razorfish), 1532 nucleotides. The record is from the annotation of a GenBank genome assembly. Lineage: Eukaryota; Metazoa; Chordata; Actinopteri; Labriformes; Labridae.
AUUCAUUCAUAAAACACAUUUUUAAUAGAGUCUAGUAUUUAAUUUCUAAAGAGUUUGCAGGUUCAACUUUACUCUGAAAAUAUCAGUGUUUACUGUCCUCCUGUUGUGACCUUUAUUUUGAAAAGCUGUUAACGUGACAGCAUAAACCUGCAGAUUUAACAGAGGAUGUCAUUAAGGAUGUUACCUGGACUCACCUGAUUGGUGGAAAAGUGUCCUGCAGAGACUCCCAGGUGUGUGUGUGUGUGUGUGUGUGUGUGUGUGUGUGUGUGUGUUUGUGUGUGUUUGUGUGUAUUUGUGUUAAAAGUGAGGACACAGACACACAAUCAGGACCCGACAAAGACCUUCCUCUUGACUCUGCGAUGAACAAAAAGCCCGCUGUUCGACAAAGGACAGAGAUAAAGGGGUUAAGAGCUCCAGGUGUGUGUGUGUGUGUGUGUGUGUGUGUGUGUGUGUGUGUGUGUGUGUGGACUCUGUGGGCACCCUGGGUCUCCAUCAGUGUCUGGCUGAUUGAUUGGGACGUCAGCCAAGAUAAAAGAUCCCGUCCUCACAGCACGGCCGCGCAACGCCCCGGGGAGAGGCACAUGCUAACACACACACACACACACACACACACAGGCAUGCACUUGGUUACCUGGACUGAAUACAGAUCUGGGACUAGAUUUCUCUGCAGGACUCAGACCUGCGUUUCAGUGUUUUAUCAGAUUUUUCGCUCUAACUGGUCAGCUGAUUCAUUACGACCACCUGAGGUCAGGAGGAUUGGCGUUUCCAGGACAACCUGACCUCCUCAGUCUCAGUCCUUUUUAUUUAUGUUUCAAUCUAAAAAAAAAAGCUCUACCUUAUAGUUCAUGACGCCACAACAAAUGCACUGAUGUAGACCUACGUCAAGGGUCUCCGUGCUGAUCUGUGGUCGCAGUGAAAAUGAUUCACGUGAGUUUAGAUUUUUCAACUUUUGCAAAUAAGUGAAUAAAGCGAGUUGUUUGUAGAACAUGUCGUGAUUAACUUUUCUGAAUGAACAUCACAGACUUGGUUUAAACACAAAUAUUCAUGAAGAGGCGGACUUCGAGACGUCUUCAGACAGUUUGUUUUAAAACUUUUCAAAACAUGGUCUUAACAUGAAAUCAGGAUCUGCUGUUCGACUCGGACACGCCCACCUGGUAACAUUCCUAAAGACACGCCCACCUGGUAAUGUUCAUGAAGACACGCCCACCUGUUAGCUCUCCUAAAGACACGCCCACCUGGUAGCUCUCCUAAAGACACGCCCACCUGGUAACAUUCCUAAAGACACGCCCACCUGAUAAUGUUCAUGAAGACACGCCCACCUGGUAGCUCUCCUAAAGACACGCCCACUCAGUAAACUCUUUCCUUGUCUCUGAAGGUUUCUCAGGUAUGAUUUCACUCGACAGGUGAAGUUUUAACCCUUUAAUGUCUUUUGUAUCAUAUUUGAUACUUUUAUAAACUUUUAUCAAAUCAAUACGAUCAACAAAUUAUUAAAAAUCACCUGAAUACAGAUAAAUGAUAAAAAUGUCCUCCUG